Molecule: non-coding RNA, 1459 nt
Organism: Salmo salar (Atlantic salmon)
Lineage: Eukaryota; Metazoa; Chordata; Actinopteri; Salmoniformes; Salmonidae
Source: RefSeq, a predicted model, not a curated record
GGAAGGCCCUAAAAAUUGUCAAUGACUCCAGCCACCCAAGUCAUAGACUGUUCUCUCUGCUACCACACGGCAAGCGGUAACAUUGCGCCAAGUCUAGGUCCAAGAGGCUUCUAAACAGCUUCUACCCCAAACCCAUAAGACUCCUGAACAUCUAGUCAAAUGGCUACCCAGACUAUUUGCAGUAGUAUGAAAAAAAACACCCACACUAAAUGUAUUGCAAAUAGAAAGGUCACAGGCAAACUCUUGCAAAUGAGCUGCAAUGAAUGAAAGAAAGAGUUAAUCUGGAGGUCAAUGCAGUAUUGUGUGUAUGUGUGAUCUGUGUGGGCGUGUUCCCCUGUGGCUGACUGAGCAUGCCCACAGGAAGUCCAGUAAGAAGAGAGAGACGUUCAGCGCUGUCAUACAGCUCAGCGCUGUAUGACUCCCAAAGAGUCAUACAGAAACACCAGCAGGAGCAAUCUCCUCCUGUCUGUGUUUCCACGGUACAUCGCCAUGGAGCUGAAGACAGAGAUCAUCAAAUGACUGUCAGAGAAUAAAGACAAAGGACAGAACUUUCACAGUCUGUACAUGCGCCAACACAAAGACAUCAGGUCAGGAAAUGUGUCUGUACAUCCGCCAACACAAAGACGUCAGGUCAGGAAAUGUGCACUUGAAAGAAUGUGCACCAAUGAAUAUUGCUUUGUGUGAUCGUUAAGGACUUUUUAGAUCCUUGGUAUUUCAAAAAAGGAAAGGUGAUGAUGACAUUGCACACAGGUUGUUGCAGUCUUUUUUUGGCAGGUUUGCAUUUAUUGGGAUGAGUCUUGUCCUGGAGGCAGCUCUGCAGUGGUCACCAUCUGGCUUAGCCACAAAGUCAUACAAUCUGAUUUCAAACCUACAGUAAUCCUAGCAUUAACCCUAACCUCAACCACACUGCUAACUUUAUGCCUAAUCCUAACCUUAAAAUAAGACCAAAAAUCGAAUUUUUGUUUUUAUAAACUAUUUACGAUAUAGCCAAUUCUGACUUCGCAGCUUGACGAUUUAGCGGAAACCGCUCAAGAUUCAUCCCAAUAAACAUCAACCUGCUUUUUUGGGGGAGUUGCUAUCAUCUUCCCUUUUCUGAAACACCAAUGAUCUGUUACUUUGGCCAGCACACCUAAAUACUAUCAGAGGACUUAGCAGAGUCACAUUGAUUCCCCUACUGUAUCUACUUGGCUCUGUGUAAUAUUCUGUAUUCUGACAUCGUGGGGUUUACUAAGCUGGCCAGUACCUGUUCUCCAGAGGAGCUGGUGCGAGUCCUCAACAAACUCUUCAGCAGGUUUGAUGACAUUGCCAAGAUGAAAUAUAAUUUCAACAACAGCUCAAUAGAUCCCGAUGGCGUACGUUCACUCAAACACCAUCACAUACUAAAAACUCUCCAUCACUGACUCUCUGACUCUUUCUCCAUCUCUCUCUCUCCCCUCUACCUUCCCACCCUCUCCCCUUG